This is a long non-coding RNA of Cyprinus carpio carpio, 1516 nucleotides long. The record is from Ensembl. NCBI's taxonomy places the organism in Eukaryota, Metazoa, Chordata, Actinopteri, Cypriniformes, Cyprinidae.
GACGCAUAGACAUGCUGACGAUCAUGGCCAUGCGCUGGAACCAACAAAAGUUUGACAACUUGGCUUCUACCCUUGCCCGCCGAUAUCGGAAGGCCACAAUAGCCCUGCAAUGCCAGUUGCAUAACCUGGAGGCCAUGAAAACGGAAAUGGACGUCUCAGACAAUCAACUGGAGAGGUGGAUCAUUGAUAUCAAUGAGUGGGCAGAAGCAACAACAUCCCGAAAUGAUGCUGAUGUUGCCGCUGUUGCCAGCCGAAUUGAGGAGCUGGUGGCAAGUGUUAAGAGGAGGUCCCAGCGUCUUUACAAGGAUAGUGACGGAUGCAAAGGACGUGCCCGAAUCCGCCGAAAGAUCAGGGAGGAAAAAAAAAUCUUAAAUUCUGUAGUGGAAAAGUAUAACACCUUGGUUCCUAAUGCAGAAAAACUGACAUUGGACACCAUUCUAUCUGAUGAGAUUGUUUGGCCAUGGCAGCUUACACACGGUGACUCUGUAGAUCUAAGGACAAAGAGGAAGGCGUUCGACAUUGUGAUGGCAGUAAGGAGACUUGAGGAGGAGAAGAGGAUUCUUAUUGCAGAGAUGAACAAGCAUUGGAAGUCUCUUUGCUCCCGUGCAGACACCCUGAAGCAGAUGUCAUCCCAGCUUUCUAAUGUGACAUCAGGUGAGACGUGGGGCCUGCUUCAAGAUGGUAUCCGAGGUCUACAGAGCUUGACGAUGAAGAACAAGCAAGCAAGCAACAGCCUGGCAAAGCAUGCAAAGAAAUAUUAUGUUCAAGUUCUGACUGAAACAGAAAUUAACUUUGAUAGUGAUUCUGAGGAAUACCAUACCAGUAGUGACUCUGAGCAAGAUUAAACAUGGCCAGAGUCCUUUUUUAUGCUGUUGUGUGCUGGGGAGGCAGCAUUAAGAAGAGGGCCGCUGGGACAGGGCAUACCAGCAACUCAAUGUCACAGAAAAGGUUAGGGGAGAAAUGGACUUUUCAGCAUGAGUCUCACCCUGCGCCAACCAUUACAUCGCUUUGUCUAUUGUCUAGUAUCCACUAUCCAUUUGACUGUCUUACAGGCUACAUUAGCCCCUCUACACAUUCUGGACUGUGGUUUCAACAUUUACCCCUGUUGGCUUGUAUAAUCUUUUCUCUUUUUUAUAUAUAUAUAUUUAAGUUUCUGUUUUUCUAUCUAUUUUAACUUCCUUGUAUUGUUUUUGUUAAGCAAUACUAUUAUGCUCAGACUCUUUUUUCCAUAGUCAUAUUAAACAUGCACAGCUUUGCACUGAUUAAAUCCCUGCACUGUUUACUUUUGCACUACCACCACUGCAAAUCACUCUAUAGCUGCCCAUCAUGUAUCACAGGGUCAGUCCCUACCAGGCCUUUGUAAUCACUUGACAUGCUCUUCACUUUUUACAUUUGUGAUUUUUGUUAUGUGUCUGAGCUGUGUGUUGUUUUUGUGGUUGUAUAAGCUAAUAAAUGCCUAAAAUGUGGUGUGUCGUCUUAAGUAGCCUACAGUGUCUGUACUAGGGGGAAGAAGACA